AUGGCUCAGCCUUUCCAGUCUGUCGUGGUAGGCCCGUGUACCUUAAGAACACACAGAUGCGAUUCUGCUGCACACCCCCAGCCCCCUCAGGGGCCAUGCCGGGAUGCCCCCCAACGGGUACGAAGAAAUGCACCUUCAUGGGCUCCCGGCUGCAGAGCCGCCGAGGAAGGGGGGGAGAGCGGACGGGAUACUAGCCCGCAGCUGCUGCUCGUUACAACAGGCCGCCGGCCGGCGCCGCAGCUCGAAAAGAGCCGCCGCUGUCCGAGCUGGUGUCCCGCCAUCGCCUGGUUGUACCGGAAUGCGCCUUCUGCCGCCGCCGCCCUGUGGGGCAGCAGCCCCGGCAGGAGUCGGGCCCCGGCAGGCCCCCGCUACCGCCGCCGCCACUCCUGCCACAGACCGGCCGCUAGAGCGCGGGCCGGGCCCACGUGCGCGGCGGUGCCGGAAGCGACGCAGCGGCGCCGGGCGGGUGAGUGCUGGGGGCGGUGGAGGCUGCGGGAGCUACCGCUUCGGGAGGUCGCGGAGCCGGGCUGGGCCGUGCUGUCGCGCCUCCCCGUAGCCGAGCGCGGCGGUCCCGUGGGCGGGCCGCCGUGCGGCCGGGCCGUGCCUCGGCCAAACGCGAGUGCGGCCGCUGCCGGUUCUCCUCCCGCGGCUGGAGGGGUGGGAGCGGCCGCUGCCCGAGGAACGCUGGCUCUGUGCGGAGAAGCCGGAGUGACCGAAGCCCUAAACCCGCUGCAGUGCUGCCCGCCCCGGGAUGCAACCCUCCGCCCCGCAGUCCCCCCCCACCCCUUCCCCCAGCCCCGCCAACCUGGUGCGGGGGUUCCUGGAGGCCGCGGAGGAAUGAAACCGGUCUGGGCCCCGUCAGCAGCGGGCUGUUCGGUACGAGCUGCGCCGGCCUCGUUCUCUGGGGAUCUUGUGGGAGCAGAGCUGCUCCCUCUGGAGAUCUCUCGUUCCUUGCUCGUCUCUCGUGUCUACUCACAGGAUUUCUCCAUGCCCGAAGGAAAUAAACCCUCUUGA
This 1014-nucleotide long non-coding RNA is filed under the name Calidris pugnax (ruff). Its description in RNAcentral is "lncRNA (ENSCPUG00000003540.1)". Lineage: Eukaryota; Metazoa; Chordata; Aves; Charadriiformes; Scolopacidae. The record is from RNAcentral.